RNAcentral lists this ribosomal RNA (305 nucleotides) under uncultured bacterium. RNAcentral's name for it is "bacterial SSU rRNA". It matches the Rfam family "Bacterial small subunit ribosomal RNA", at positions 334 to 637 of the family's 1533-position model. The record is from RNAcentral.
GUUCCCUACGGGGCGCAGCAGUAGGGAAUAUUGGUCAAUGGGCGGGAGCCUGAACCAGCCAAGCCGCGUGAAGGAAGAAGGCGCCAGGAGUCGUAAACUUCUUUUGUCGGGGAACAAAGGGCGCCACGCGUGGCGUUGUGAGUGUACCCGAAGAAAAAGCAUCGGCUAACUCCGUGCCAGCAGCCGCGGUAAUACGGAGGAUGCGAGCGUUAUCCGGAUUUAUUGGGUUUAAAGGGUGCGUAGGCGGUCCGGAAAGUCAGCGGUAAAAGCCCGGGGCUCAACCCCGGCGAGCCGUUGAAACUGUC